Molecule: ribosomal RNA, 492 nt
Filed under: uncultured bacterium
Lineage: Bacteria
Description: partial 16S ribosomal RNA
Rfam family: Bacterial small subunit ribosomal RNA
Source: RNAcentral
ACUCAAAUGAAUAGACGGGGACUCGCACAAGCAGUGGAGCAUGUGGUUUAAUCCGAUACAACGCGUAGAACCUUACCAAGGCUUGACAUGUUCGGCAAAGUUAGGGAAACCUAACGGAGGUUAUCCGAACACAGGUGCUGCAUGGCCGUCGUCAGUUCGUGCCGUGAGGUGUAUGGUUAAGUCCUAUAACGAACGCAACCCUUGGGCUUAGUUACCAGCAUUAAGUUGGGGACUCUAAGUCGACUGCCCGAGUAAUCGGGAGGAAGGAAAGGAUGACGCCUGGUCGUCAUGGCCCUUAUGCCUUGGGCGACACACGUGCUACAAUGGCUAAGACAAAGGGAUGCCAACCCGCGAGGGGGAGCUAAUCCCAAAAAAUUAGCCUCAGUUCGGAUUGGAGGCUGCAACUCGCCUCCAUGAAGUCGGAAUUGCUAGUAAUCGUAAAUCAGCCAUGUUACGGUGAAUACGUUCUCGAGUCUUGUACACACCGCCCGU